Molecule: long non-coding RNA, 589 nt
Organism: Oncorhynchus keta (chum salmon)
Lineage: Eukaryota; Metazoa; Chordata; Actinopteri; Salmoniformes; Salmonidae
Exons: 2
Source: RefSeq, a predicted model, not a curated record
CGUGUCCCUCUGUUCCUAUUCUCUGAGAUCCAUCCUGAAAUGCUUCACAGCUUUAAACAGCCUCACCAGUGUGCCGCGUUUCGUGACGUCAGUCAACGCCAUUCAAAACCAGGCAGCUAAGCGGAGCUGAGCGCGUGAAUGAUCUCGGGACGGGGAACGUGUAAAGCCUACCGCUCGCACGCGGUUAUCGCUCCUAGUAUACACAUGUACUGUAGCCUGCUAAUUAUCCUCCAGCUUCGCAUUUUUUCCGCUCUGAAAAAUGGUGCCGGACGGUGUGAAUGCUUCUGGAGAACACGGUGACCUGUUGCCACGAGAAAAGGGCAACCAGUGAAGAACAAACACCAUUGUAAAUACAACCCAUAUUUAUGCUUAUUUAUUUUAUCUUGUGUCCUUAAAACCAUUUGUACAUUGUUAAAACACUGUAUAUAUAUAUAUAAUAUGACAUUUGUAAUGUCUUUAUUGUUUUGAAACUUCUGUAUGUGUAAUGUUUACUGUUCAUUUUUAUUGUUUAUUUCACUUUAUAUAUUAUCUACCUCACUUGCUUUGGCAAUGUUAACACAUGUUUCCCCUGUCAAUAAAGCCCCUUGAA